RNAcentral lists this long non-coding RNA (41284 nucleotides) under Sorghum bicolor (sorghum). RNAcentral describes it as "long non-coding RNA (SBIC_LNC017028)". The stretch from base 36401 to 36539 matches the Rfam family "Small nucleolar RNA Z247". Lineage: Eukaryota; Viridiplantae; Streptophyta; Magnoliopsida; Poales; Poaceae. The record is from RNAcentral.
CUCAUCUCUCUAGAAUAACACCCACUUUCAUAGCCAAAGCAGCAUGCAAAACAGAUCUACAUAAUACCUGUUUUGGCCAGGGCGGCAGUGCCACCCAUUAUUGACCGUUGAGACUCAGGUGGUACUUAUACCUCCAGACUUGUCCCACAAUGGUCAUCUGCUUCCUCACUCGACACAACUCGCAGGCAGACAGACCAGAGCUCUCUCUCUCUCUCUCUCUCUCUCUCUCUCUCUCUCUCUCUCCCUCCCUCCAUUGUUGCUCCUUCACCCCUCAAGCAAAUCCUUGAUUCCAACCAUCAAACCUUGAGAGAAAAGGCAGCAAAACUCAAUUGGAGAGUAGAUCCACUGGUUCUCAAAGUCUAAGAGCAUUUUGUUCACGUUUGGCUGACGAUUUUAGGGUUUGUUACUCUUGGAGCUUGCUCCUAGCCGGCUAGGCGUCGCCCUUGAGCUUGCCCUCUUGUGUGGCAACCUAGGGAAGUUUGUAACCUCACUCUUACAGCUAAGAAAUUACCCCUCACCCCAAGAGUUCACUCUCUUGACUUGAGAACAAGGGUAGGACAAGCCUUUGUGGCAAGCUUAAGCCUUUGGUGGCUUCCUCAACAACGUGGAUAUAGGCAAACCUUAGUGGUGAGCUGAACCACGGGAUAAAUCACUAAGUCUUGUGUGCUACUGCAGAUUAUAUCUUGUGAUUGACCCUUUCUAGGGUUUGGAGACGAUCUAGUAUGGUGAGAGUUUAUGUGGUACGUAGUCCUCGUAUUGGAUCUUGUGUUGAUUUUGCAGGAUUGCGUAGUUUAGAGUUUCAAUUUACUUUCUGCAAAAUCUCGUUACUAUCUGCUCAUAAGUCAAAGGCCGACAUUGUCGCCCUCUGUUCUAACAGAGUUCUGAGUUAAAUUUUUAUAUUCCUAUUCACCCCCCUCUAGGCCUCCUAUACCUUCCAAGAGAUCCUACUGAAUAUUUCUACAAUGGUUGGAGAGGCGAUGAGAAGCGAUUAGUAUGUCUAUGGUUGGUGGACCCAGAACAUGAAAAGCGAUGAGAGGCGAUGGGAGCAAGGCGAUGGAAGGUGAUAGGUGUGCGUGUGUCUAUGGUCGGUGGGCCAUAGACGUCACAUCGCCUCCCAUCGCCUCUUAAAUUAUGGAGAUUAGGACCCUAAAUAGAGGAGUGGUAAUUUCUUUUUUAAUAAAGGGUAAAUUCAUAAUUGUAAAAAUAAUAUUUUGAGUAGCAUAGUUAGGGUGUAUGAUUCAAGUACUAUAGUUAGUUAGAUAAAAAUCUUCUUCUUAUUUUUUUAAAUCUUCUUAGUGUUCCACCCGUCAGCGUCCACCAGUGCGUGUUACAGGGAGCCAUCGCCGCCGAUGAUAGGGGGGUUUGAGAGAACCUUGUACAAUAACGUUAUUACUCUUCCACGAAUUAAAUCAAGAAAAAAGUUUUUUAGCGGAGGCGAUGGGAAGCGAUUCCAACCAUUGUAAAAGGUCUCAUAUUAUGAAUGUAUUUCUUAUUAGAUAUGGUGAUGCUGCCAACUUCGUGAUGUAAAUCUAUAUAAAAAUUAUACAUUGGUGGUCAUUGUUCAAAUAAAUAGUCUUAGACAAACCUAAAUGAACUUAUAUAUUAUGACCUAUGGAAAUAUACACUAGUGGUAGGACUCCACUUAUAGCAAAGAAGGCGUAAGAAAAUAGGGCUGAUUUAUUUUGCGCUUUCCCUUCACGUCUUUUCCUUUGAACACUCCCAAAGAUAAGAGCCGAAGGGUCUAACAACGAGGUAUCAGUUAGGUUAGGCUUGAUCACAGACAAUAUAACUCGACGUAUUUAGUAUGCCCAAUCGCCUCGACUCCAACAUUAGACCAAAUUACGAAGGAUCCUAGAAAUACCCAAAAUUAAAUAUUAAGUAGAUUCUGACUUAUCUUUUCUAUUUCUUGCCAUUUUUAAGCAUCUCGACUCUCUGACACUUUAUCAAAUCUAGUUUAUGUGUAGGCCUUUGAGUGGGUGAGAGAUAAUGUUCUCCGGCGAUAAAGAAAACCAUUAUGUGGCGGUCAUGGAAAGAAAAUAACAAACUUUAGAUUUUUAUUAUGGCAAUGACUUUGAUACAAGUGUGUGGGCGAUAAACACACCGCACGCCUGCACGCCAACCACAAUUCUUCCACUUCUCGCCAGCCCGCGUCCACUCUUCUCUCUCCCUCUCUCUCUAUCUAUGAUGACCUCCCCCAAAUCCGGCAAGCCAGUGGAUCUGAUGGUGGCAUGGACUCUCCUUUCCCCCUCUCCCUCGGACCAGCGACCUCCUUCACAACUCCGGCGAGUGGAUCCGGUGGCGACAUGGAGGAUUCGGUCAGAUCCAAACGACGACCAAUGCAGAUCCGGUAAGGUAUGUUUCCUCAUCCUCCUCCUUAGGGUUCCGAUGAGCUCCCUCUCAUCUUCCCAAACUCCAGCGGCCUUAGAAGCAAAGGGGCAAGGGGAGGAAGGGUAGCCAGGCGGUGGGGUUGCGGCAGGCGGUGUAGGGGUCCUGACGAAGGUGGAGGUGGCCGGGCAAGGUCAUGGUGGGGGAACCAUGGCCAUGGUGGCAGCGACGGAUAAGGGAGGAAGGGGAAGAAGGAGGUGUCAUGGGCAAGCUAGGAUUUUGCCGAAGUUCCAAAGUCAUGGCUGCGGCCAUGACCCGCGGAGCUCCGACAAAACCCUAGAUCAUCGCGGCUAUAGAUGGCCAUAAGGCUCACAGCCCAUCAACAUAGCCCAUGGCCCACUGUUUUGGCCUAGCCUAGGCCCUUGGGCACGUGCUGACCUAGCCCAACCCGAUCAACCACCUUUAUUUACUUUCCAUAUAUAUAAAUAUAUGAAAACCCUAAUUUACUUCUUAGAUUCCCUUCCACCACAAAUCUAUUUGGCUAUUAUGUUGUGCGGAGUAGGUUGCACACCUUCCUCUUCCCCAACGCUACUCUAAUUUCUCUGCUCCCCUCCAGCGUGCAUCCCAUAGCCACACGUGCUUUCCCUCUUGCAGACGCCCACCUCUCUAGCUCUGAUUUCUUUGAUUCCUCCACGGAUCCUGCUGCCUCCGUGGAUCUAAUGCGCGACGCACAACACCGGCGCCAACUGUAGCACGCCAAGCUCCAACAUCGGCGUCCCCAGGUGAGCAACAACAACAAGCUCCAACAUGCGGAGCCCCUCUAUCUCUACCUAUGCCUGCAAGAACGACGACCUCAACUAGCGCGGGCAACAACUGCACGUCAAGCCUAGCAGGUCGUCGGGCUAUCCCGGCACAACUCAUCCCCUUUAGGGUCAUGCUUGGGUCAUUGGUGCAGCUCAUGGGCUGGCACGGAACAGCCCAAUGCACCUAAUGGGCCGUGCCGACUUGCUGACCUCUAGGACGUGCCAAGCAUGGGCCUGUGCCGUGUCGAGCCAGGCGGCUCGAAUGGCUAUCUAUAGUCGCGGUGGUAGGGACGAGGGUCACCUACGAGGUAGAAGGUGCCAGUGAGGAGGAAGAAAGGGAAGGGGGCGGCACGAGAAAAGCGUGCUUUAGCCACAUCUUUUUUUUGAACUUUUAGCCACAUCCUUUUAUUAUAAUAGAUCGAUAUAAUAAAGUUGUUGCUUAUAUAUUCAAGCUAUUUUCUACUAACACUGGCGUGCUAGAGUUAGGUAUUUUUAUCUAAAAUCCUAAUUUUCAAGAAUCUUGUUAAAAUAUUUGGAAAAUAUUUAUUUAAUUUCGCUGAUCAUAUGAAACCCCACUGUGCUGGCUAUUUUAGCAGAGCAGAGUUAACACCAUUGUCGGUUUGGAACUCUUGAUCGGCUCGGGUCGGCUGGAGCCAAGAACAGCACUGGAAGAAAGGUCAUCUCUAGAAGAUUGGCGCUGAUUAGAAGCAAAAAGACAGAGCCUUGUCCUGCCACGUAAGGACGGCACCAGCCAACUUGCCAGGUCAUAGCCACAUAGGGGCGACGCCAACCAACUUGCCCGGUCACAUUUCAGGUAUGUACCACACCUUCUCCACUCGCUUUCUUCCCUAGCGCACCGUGGCCCCGCACAAGUAUAACCCCACGCUAAAGUUGAACAUGCAGCCCGCGGGCCAAAGGCAUGGCCCAAAGCACGGUGAUUUGGUCCGGCCCAAGCACGGCACGGCCCGACCUCAAUCGUGCCCGUGCCGGCCCGAAGCACGUAGCGGGCCGUGCUUGGGCUGACCUCUCGGCCCGCCGGGCGGCACGGUGUCGUCCCGAUAUUAGGGAACUUGUGAAACUUGAAGUAUCAAGUUCUAUGACCUGUGAAACUUGUGACUUUUGGCAAGUGAAAUAUGAUUUGUGAGUAUAUUGUGUUAUGUAAUUUGUGAAGUAUUAAUGUCUAUGACUUGAAUGUGAUUUACUUAUGCUUUCUUGAAUUUUGUAUUAAAUUUGGUGUUUUUAUAUAGCGGGCCAUGGGCUAGCCCAAAGCACUAUUGGGUCUCAUGCUUUUCGAGCCGGCCUAGCCCGAAAAUCAGCCCAUGUGUCGUGCCUAGGCCAUCAGGCAUGGCCUGGUGGCACGCGGGCCAUACGGCCCAUGCCCUAUUGGGUCGUGCCUAGCACGGGCCCGUGCCGGGCCGACCCGUUGCUCAUCUUUACCCCAGCCAGGUUUUCUAGAGCAAACUGCCCGCUGAGCAGCCACAACUUUUGCACAAGGAAAAACAUGGCAAAACGACAAAACCCCCGUGAGACCUGCAUAGCUAGCAACCUUGCGUGCCGUCGCUCUCGCGAUCGCGGCGACGCGAAAACACCACAUCACGCGCCACGUGAGCGUGGCAUGCUGACCGCGACACAGUGGGCGCUAGUGCGGAAGGCGUAGUCCUGUCUCACGGUGACCUUCCAGAUCUGAGAGGGUGAAAGGUCCUUGUUUGGUUUUGGUAAUUGAGUGACAACUUAGGUGGACUAAUAGUAUUUAUGUGAGAUACACAGGAGAUUAGUCCACAGGUGAUGAUGUGAUGAUGGAGGAACUCAUUGCACAUGAGACAUGACAUGGAGUCAUGUGACCAAGGUGGACAAGAUCAAGAUGAGGCUUGGCUUGAUGGACCGGUUGCAAGAGUGAAGGACAAGUCGGAGGCUUUGAAGCAAGGGACCGCGUGUGACGGUGAAGCUUGAGCAAGACUUGGCGCCGAUGGACUGAGGCAACGGUGAAGAGCAAGCGAGGUCAAGAUCGAUGAACCAAUAUGGUCACGUGAUGAUAUGAAGUGGAUCAUAUCAUUUGGGGAUUGGUUGGUGCAUGUGUUGUAUCAACAUUGGAGGAGAUGGAAUGGAAUGCGCAAGGCAAAGGUAUAACCUAGGAGCAUUUCCAUUUCACCGGUCAUAGGUGUGUAGAGAAGUUUAUGACUAGAUUUAGGAUAGAUGGUUGUACUAUCAAGAGGGGCAAACCUGUUUGCAUAUCGGUCAUCUAGUGCCACUUGAGCGAUCCAACUUUGCAUAUGUGUUAGGAUCGAGUGGCGUGGUAAGUUUGAGAGGCUAACUCCUUUGGGAAAAUGUUUGUGAAAAUGCUAACACACAUGCACAUGGUGGUGUACACUUGGUGGUGUUGGCACACUUUGCAAAGGAAGUGGAGUUCCUAGGGUUGAGAGGGGUUUGGGUUCCUCUCUCCCUCCAGCCGAGCUUGCGAGGCGGAAUUCGCCGCUUUUGAGAAAAUUAAGUGCAUAUUUUCUACUACGCCGGUGGGAAAUUUGGAGAAGUCGCGUGAGUGUUUCUCACUACCAGACGUUGGUGUUGGCAGCACCGGACGCUGGUCCAGAACGUCCGGUGUGGUGUCAGUCUGUGGCGCAGGUGUGCAGAGUGCACCGGACGCACCGGAGUGAGUCCGGUGCUCAGCGUCCGGUGUGCGGGCGGUUUGGCGACCGUCUCUGCGCAUGAGUCCGGAGAGCACCGGACGCUCAGGGUGCGUCCGGUGGCUCGCGUCCGGUGACCCUGCGAGUUUGUAGAGCUCUCUGCACACGGGUCUGGUGUGCACCGGACACAUCCGAUGUGACGCAGUAGAGCGUCCGGUGGUGCUGUGCAGACGCGCGUGCGCAGUAGCUGUUGGCGGCAACGGUCGAUUUCAAACGGCUAGUGACACGUGGCUGAUGCCUGAGCACUGGACGCUGGGAGUUGAGCGUCCGGUGGUCCCUGCAGUGGGUCCGGUGCCCACGUGUUUUGCCCGGUGAAGAGGCAACGACUAGUUUAGCCCUUGAGGCUAUAAAUAGAAGUGGUGGCUAGCCUUGGCUGGUGCUGAGCACCCUUGGGACUUAGUGUCCAUGCUUGGGUAGUGCUAGUGAAGCCUCUAACUCACACAUGCUUGAUAGUGAUCAUCUAAUUGUGUGAGUGAGCGAUUCUAGUGCGUUGCAUUGAGAGAUUGCAUCGAGUGGCACUAGGUGUUCGUGUUGCAAGCCGGUGGUGCUUGUUACUCUUGGAGGUUGCCACCUCCUAGACGGCUUGGUGGCUUGUGACUCCGUCGAAGCACGCAAGGAGAUUGUGCGGUGCUCCGGAGAAGAGAUUUGUGAGGGGUACGGUGCUCACCCCGCGGGGAUCGCGAAGAGCAACUCUAGUGGAUUGCUUGUGGCUUGGAGGAUCCCCAUCUUGAGAGUGGAUGUGCGGCAUCCGCUGAGGGUUUGGCUUCAGAAUGUCAAUUAGCUUGUGAUCCAUCAAGUGGGUGUAUCGCCACAACGAGGACGUAGCUUGGUGGCAACCAAGUGAACCUCGGUAAAAAUCACUGUGUCAACAUUGUCUAUUCUUCUCAGUGGUUUGCAUUCACUUUACACAAGCUUGUAUUUACAUUCAAUAUACUUAUUCUUGUGAGUUGCUCUUGUAAUUAGUUUAGCUUGUGUAGCUUGCUAGUUACCUUCUUUCUUGUGUAGCUAGAAGUAGCUUCCUUGCGUGACUAAUUCGGUUUGUGUAACCUUGUUAGUCACAUUGCUUAGUUUGUGUAGCUAAGUAAGUUGCGCUCUCUAAUUUAGCAUUAGUUGCCUUGUUAUUGAGCUUGCUAGUGAGCUUAGGCUUUGUGCGCUUUGCCUCACUAGUUUGUGUAGGAGCUCCCCCGGUUUGCAAAGUACUAGUUGCAUAGGUUUGUGUGACCUUGCUUCUAGAAUUGGUUAGGUGAGCUCUUGUUAAGGUAGCACCUUGUUUUCUUGUUUAGGAUCUUUUAGAAGGUGCUAGAGAACUUAGAUAGAGGGGUGUAGUCUUGGCUAGACCGAUAGAUUUAAUUCUGCAUUUAUUUUAUAUUUUUAGAAAGGACUAUUCACCCCUCUAGUCCGCCAUCUCGACCCUUUAGAGGGCUUGGGGCGGGUAAACUGAUGUGCCUUGUAAGUUCUGUUUCAGUUUAUGAGUUCUAAAAUAGCAUGCAACAAAGCCCUAGAGUUUUGAUUAUGGGUCCUGGACUCCGGCACAUGAGGAUUUAUAUCAGCAGCCCCAAUGAAUCUCUCGGUUGCAGCCUCCCAUGCAUGACAACUCGUACCUCUGCAUGUCUAUCAAUGGAGUAGGCUACUCGGUUAGAGCAUUCAGUGUUAUAGAUACGGCAUCGGGGAAUUGCUUGUAGAACUCAUUUGACGGGUGAUUGGCACAUAUAACUAUAUCUCCCAUUGCCAGAGCUUCAGCAGUGGUCGUACAGACCACAUCUGUGGUGCUGGGAUUGAUGACACUUUAUACCAGUUGGAAAACUAGUGUUUCAAACUUUGAGUCCAACACAAACAGUUGGUGUAUCCUAAGUACAUUAGAAAUGUUAGGGGUGUUUGGAUGCAGGGCUAAAAUUUAGUUCUUGUCACAUCAGACAUUUGGAUGCUAACUCGAAGAGCUAAACAUGAGCUAAUUAUAAAACUAAUUACACAGGGAUAGACUAAUUAUCGAGAUAGAUCUAUUAAGCCUAAUUAGUCCAUGAUUUACAACAUUAUCAAAUCAUAAACAAAUUAGACAUUAAUAGUUUCAUCUCGCAAAUUAGCCUUCAUUUGUGUAAUUAAUUUUGUAAUUAGUCUAUAUUUAAUACAUCGAAGUGGUGUCUAAACAUUUGAUGUGACAGAGAUUAAACUUUAGUCCCACAAACAGUUGUAUGUGUAACUUGUGUAUACUACUAUGACAGUUGCAUAUGUAUCCUAAUAAGUACAUAAUUUUGUGUAACCUGUGUUCAGUGUGUACGAUAUAUGACGCAGGACGAUAUCACGCUUAGAAAGGAUCAGAACAUUAUCAACAAGUUAUGUUACCAUAAUGCCCACCAGUUUAAUCUGGCAUAAGUAAGCACUGCACCACAAACACAAUCUGAUGAUGAGAUUCUAACGCUAGGCUGAAGGCUGACUCUACUCUACACAACACUUCAUGCACGGGUCUGCUCACGAAGAGUUCACAGGGUCGGGUUCGGCUCCGGCGUGCUCCACAAACUCCGAAGGAGUAAGGAAGCUUCCAUGGCAGAUGCAUACUAUUCUGACAUCUUCUGUUUUCUUGUUAAAGUUGGGCAGCCUUCAUUAGAUUGUGCUUCUGUUCGCUUGAACUUAUCUGCCGAAUCUACCAGUCAUUCAACAGUAUUUUUCUAUCACAAUAAAUCAACGAGCAGUACUUUCAUAUGUGACUUUUCAGACAAGCGAACGAGCUCAGUGUUCUGUAAAAUAGAGUCAGAAUUGAGCAUAGUGUUAGAGUAGAAUCUCAUCGUCAGAUUGUGUUGUGGUGCAGUGCUUACUUACGCCCGAUUGAAUUUGUGGGUAUUAUUUAUGGUAACAUAACCUGUUGAUAAUGUGUUCUCAUCCUUUCUAAGCGUGAUAUAGUCGUGCAAUUGUCAUACGUCUUACACAUAGAAUCAUGUUAUGACAGUUGCAUGUGUAUCCUCAGUACAUAACAUUGUGACCUGUGUUUCCUGAUCACAAAACUUACGUAUUUACUCCCUUCAUUUCAAACUAUAAGUCGCUUAGACUUUUUUGGUACACUUAUUGUGCUAUAUAUCUAGAUAUAAUAAUAUAUAUAUGUCUAGAUACAUAGCAAAAUAUAUGAACUAAAAAAGUUAAAAUGAUUUAUAAUUUGAAAUAGAGGUGUAAAUUGGGGUUAACGAGAUGACCCUAUCUUGGGCUCUUGGUUCGUGUUAUAUAGAUAGAGAAAAGCCCCCUAUAUGGCAUUUACAGGAUGGUUUGUUACAACAAUCUCCUACUUCUCCUCAUGUACACAGAAUCACGCAACAACCUACGGCACGUGCUCAACAGACUUGAGCCUUGUGCAUGUACAGUGAACCUAGACAAUACUCUAUUGUCUAACAUCCUCCCUCAAUCUCAGCCACUAACAAGGUUGAGAUUGAACCUAAAUGUUCUCAUCUUGGACAACGGCAAAGGCUUAGUAAAGCCAUCAAUAAGCUGAUCGUGAGUAUUAACAUAGCAUAUAUCCGGUAGCCUUUGAGCUACUCGCUCCCGCACAAAAUGGAAGUCAAUUUCUAUGUGUUUUGUUCUCGCAUGAAAAACUGGAUUCGCUGACAGGUACCUUGCGCCAAUGUUAUCACACCAAAGACGGGGGGCAGAAGGAUGUUUGAUCUUAAGUUUUGUCAUCAAUUGCUGAAGCCACAUGAAGUCAGUUGCAUUAGCCAACGCUUUGUAUUCUGCUUCAAUACUUGAUCUAGAGACAGUUGGUUGUUUUUAGCACUCCACGAUACAAGAUUCGGCCCAACAAACACUGCAAAUCCUCUCGUUGACCUCCUAUCGUCAACACAUACAGCCCAAUCAGCGUCUGAGAAAGCACUGACCAUCAUAGAAUCUGAUCUUCUGAUUUUUAAACCUAAUUUCAAGGUCCCUUGCACGUACCACAAGAUUCUUUUAACUACACUCCAAUGUACCAUAGUCGGGGUAUGUAGGAAUUGACAUACCUUAUUAACCACAAAUGAUAUAUCAGGUCGAGUGAGUGUAAGGUACUAGAGGGCACCCACUAUGCUUCUAUACUUCACUGUAUCAUCAGGUCUAAGCACAACUCCUUCUGACGCACUCAACUUCUCGGUUGUAGACAAGGGAGUAUCAACUGGCUUGCAAUUCUUCAUUCCAGCAUGUUGCACAAUAUCUGAAGCAUACCGCAAAGAAAGGCAUUUUGAACAUCUAAUUGUCGCAAGGACCACCCUUUCGAUAUUGCCACUUAUAACACAAGUCGGGUUGUGGCAGCUUUGACAAUCGGGCUAAAUGUGUCUUCAUAGUCUAUUCCAUAGCGUUGCUUGUAACCUUUGGCUACCAAGUGUGCUUUGUAUCUGUCAAUCAUGGCGUCCGCCUUUCGCUUGAUCUUAUAGACCCAUUUACUAUCAAUGAUGUUCCUCCUCUUGGGAGGAGGCACAAGGUGCCAUGUUUUGUUUCGCAUCAAUGCACUAUGUUCAUGGUUCAUUGCAAUGACCCAAUUUUGAUCUUGCAGCGCCUCAUUGAGAGAUGAAGGUUCACCUACAUCAGAAGAUAGCAGCAUACCCCAUCAUACUGUUCCGUUAGUAUAGACUUUAGGUUUACUUAUACCGUGUUGCGCGUGCGUGACUGGGCGUGCGGCUUCUUCUCUAGCUGAAGCCACAGAAUCCACACCAGUAGCAGCAGCCAUACCAGAUCCGAGCGAAUCAGAUACGCCGGCGACAGGAGCAGUAGGCGACAGAACCUGCCCCCCAUCACUAAUGUGGCUGGUUCACAGGUGUUGCAGAGGCGUGUGUUGGCGAAGGAGUCGCAGAAGAUCCAGAGGAGUCCAUCGUGACCCCGCCCGUCGUCGUCAUUAUGUGCGGUUGGUGCAGCACAUCCCGCAUUGAUCUUGGAAGAGCUUGAGCAGAUUUUGAGUAUGAGGUGCAUAGAGGGCCGUGUCUCCAUGUCGGUCCCGUUUCCCACUAAGGAACACAAAAUGACACAUGUUUCUAGACGAAUUUGGAGCAGAUUCUUCAUUGCGUUGAGCCCUGUGUGUUCCUGUUACAUCCACAGAUGAACUAUGACUGGUGCCAUGGUGAGACAGGGGUUGAUUAGCAUCACAUUGGUCAAAUAGAAUUGUAUCCCCAAAUUGAGAAUUAGGAUUGAGUAAAAUAUCAGGAAGGAGUGAUAGUUCAACUUGAAACCGAGCACUGGCGUUGUGGUGAAGACGUGAGAAAAGAAAUACAUUCUCAUCAAAGACCACAUCACGCGAGAUGUAUACACGCCCAAUAGAAGGGUCCAAACACUUAAACCCCUUAUAGAGAUUACUAUACCCGAGGAACACACACUACUUAGAACGGAACUCGAGCUUGCGUGCGUUAUAUGGUCUUAGAUUCAGCCAACAAGCACACCCAAAAGUGCGCACGAAGGAAUAAUCAGGUUGUUCACUAGCGUUCAUAGGGAUUUUCAUUAGCAAGGACUUUGGACGGAAGCCGAUUUAUAAGAAAAACGGUUGUAGAAGUGAGCAAGGAUAACCCAACCUCUACGAUAUGGCAAUGCUUGCGUUUAGUUGAACCGUUUUGCUGGUGUGUGUGGGCAGGACACGUGAUGUUCUAUGCCAAUGCGUGUGAAGAAGGAAUGCAUGGACUGGUAUUCACCGCCCCGGUCCGUUUGCAUGGCACAAAUUUUGCAAUCAAAUUUCCGUUCUACGAGUGGCUAGAUAUUACGGAAGCAAGAAAACACUUCAAAUUUGUGCUGAAGGAAAUAUAUCCAAGUUAAUUUGCGGAAGUCAUCAAUAAAGCUGACAUAAUAUGAAUAGCGACUAACAGACCCGGGAUCAGGUCCCCAAACAUCUAAAAAAAUAAGAUCCAUGGUCUAGUGCAUACACUAGUGGAUUUAGGAUAGGGCAAAUGAUGACUCUUGCCCAUCUGACAUGCAUCACAAUCAUGUUCUUAUUUGCAUUUCUAACAAAUGGAAGCCUAUGGCGAUUAAUGACUUGCUGGACUACUGAAGUGGAAGCAUGGCCUAAACGAUGAUGCCAUAGGGUGGUAGACGGCUUGACGGCAGCAAGCACUUGCUUAUUCUGAAUCGACUCGGAUUAACAUGACUUCAGCGGGUACAGUCCACCCUCACAUUGGCCCCUGAGGAUGACCUUCCUCGUACCCUGCUCCUUGAUAAAAAAAUAGUUAGGAUGAAACUCAAGAAAUGCAUUAUUAUCACAUGCAAGACGAUGGACAGAUAACAAAUUUUUACUAGCUUGUGGAACGUGAAGAAUUCUUCGAAGAUGGAUACUGCUAGUUGGGGUACGCAAAACACUUGAACCAAAAUGAUCAAUGCCCAUACCUACACCGUUGGCGGAGUGGACUUGAUCUUGGCUGCCAUACUUGUCACGCAUUGUGAGCUUCUCCAGCUUGCUUGUCACGUGAUCAGUAGCGCCAGAGUCGACAUACUAGUUGGGGUCGACUCCGUAUGAGGUGGUGGCCGCCUGUGCAUUCUUCGGCGGUGGGCCAUUAUAGUUGGCGGUGAAUCUCUUCAAGCAAUGGACAACAGUGUGUCCCUCCUUGAUGCAUAACUGGCAGAAGACACCUUGCUAGAAGUUAGGGCCGCGGCCGCCUCCGCUACGUCCAUGGCCACCGUGACCGCCGCCUCCACGACCACCUCCCCCACGGUUCUGUUGUGGAUUGGAGAAGUUUCCCCCACUGCGGCCUCUCUUGGCCACCAUAUUCACCGAGACGUUGGUUCCUCCACCUCGCAGCUCCAUGUGUUCAUCAAAACUGACUAACUGAGUGUAGAGUUCACUGGGCGUUAUGGGUUCAACCUGUGUAGCAAUGUCGGAGACGACGGGGUUGUAGUCUGCGCCGAGUCCGGCGAGGAUGUAGGAAACCAGUUCCUCGUCCUCCAGCUUACGCCCUGCCGACGCCAUAUCCUCGGCAAGGCCCAUGAUCUUGGCGAAGUAGUCGGCGAUCGACGACGUCCCCUUGGACGCGUUCGCCAGCACAUACGGGUGGUGAUCACGCGCGCACGAGAUUGUGCCGCGUUCAGCCCUUUAAUUGCAGCCUAGAGCGCGGUUGCGGUCUUGGAAGAUGAGACCCGCAUGAAGGUCUUCUUGCUGAGCGAACCGAAGAGAUAGCUCAUGACAGUUUGAUCCUUUGCCAUCUAGCCAUCGUACUCUGGAUUGGGCAGCGGAUCAAUGGCCUUGCCGUCCUUGUCGACUUUCUCGUCGGUCUCGAGGAAUUCCGCCGGCGGCUUGGCCGACGCCUUGAUGAAGCGACCAAGAUGGGCACCUCUGAUGGCCGACUCGACCUGGGCGCGCCACAUAGCGAAGUCGCUACAAAUGAGUUUCUCCAUCACCGGUAUGAAGCCGAGCGAAAAGGCCGUGGUCGCGACGGCGGCAGAUGAUGACUGCGACAUGGAUCGAUUCUAUAGGGAGAUAGGCUCCAGAUACCAUGUAAAUUGGGGUUAACGAGAUGACCCUAUCUUGGGCUCUCGGUCCGUGUUAUAUAGAUAGGUAAAAGCCCCCUAUGUGGCAUUUAUAGGAUGGUUUGUUACGAUAAUCUCCUACUUCUCAUGUACACAGAAUCACGCAACAACCUACAGCACCUGCUUGACAGACUUGAGCCUUGCGCAUGUACAGUAAACCUAGACAAUACUCUAUUGUCUAACAGGAGGGAGUAUCUAAUAAAUGUUGACAAAAAAACUGAAGAAGAAUAAAUUGCUUUUUACUAUCUUUACUCUCGACAAUGGCAAUACCAAUUUUGCAUUCAAACUCUUAACUUAGGCCUUGUUUAAUUCCAAUUUUUUUAUUUUUGGUAUUGUAGCACUUUCGUUUUUAUUUAGGCCUUGUUUAGUUCCUCAAAAAUUUUGCAAAAAUUUUCAGAUUUCCCGUCACAUCGAAUCUUUAGACGUAUGCAUGGAGUAUUAAAUAUAGAUGAAAAUAAAAACUAAUUGCACAGUUUGGUCGGAAUUGACUAGACGAAUCUUUUGAGCCUACUUAGUCUAUCAUUGGACAAUAUUUGUCAAAUACAAACGAAAUUGCUACAGUGCUCAUUUUGCUAAAAAUUUUGAAACUAAACAAGGCCUUAGCAAUUAUUGUCCAAUUAUAGACAGGUUUAAAAGAUUCAUCUCGCGAUUUACAGAUAAACUGUGUAACUAGUUUUGGUUUUUGACUAUAUUUAAUGUUUCAUGCAUGUGCCACAAGAUUUGAUGUGACGGAGAAUCUUAAAAAGUUUUUGGUUUUUUUGUUGAACUAAACAAGACCUAGAACCGAGGGAUGUGUUAGACAUGUUACACAUGUACAAAUGUAUAACAGAAUAAGACGGAAUCGGUAUUGUGAAUAAGAAUCUUACUCAUGGAACAAGGGAUCUGUGCGACUGUGCCUGAUCACGACCAGGAUGAACAUUGGCAGCCAAACUUAAACGUUUGGCAGAUUCACAGACCUCAUCAGAAUCUUCUCCGCUGCCAUAUAAAUCUACUUCAAGACCAACCAACUUGCUCUGAUAUUUGGACAGCAGAUCAAGAAGCUCCCUGUAUCCCUUACUCCGUACCAUCUUCCCGAUGUAGUAUGCCCCUUUUGUGAAGGCUUUCACCCCCGUUCUGCAGCUGCCUCAACUUUAGCUUGCCUAUCUCAAGAAAUUUUGGAUUAAGACCAUGGACAUUGCAUAUAACAGACCCGGGCAGAUCUUGGGUGGCACCUGAUAAUCUGAAUUAAGAUCAGAAUAAUUUAGUACAUGGCUCAAUCAAUCAGGGCAGGAUGAUAACAACUCUGGGUGUUCAGUUUUCCAAAUUCAACAAUUUAUAUAGGAGAAAGAAAACGAGCAAAUGCAUUUAUAUGAGAAAACUACAAGGUACAUAAUUGACAUAUCUCUUGAAUCUCUCUCUCUCUCUCUCUCUCUCUCUCUCUCUCUCUCUUUCUCUCUCUCUCUCUCUCUCUUUCCCUUAGUAUAGUAGCAAUAUAAGAUAACAUUGCAUGCAAAUUCGGAAAAUUGUUAUAAGUUCAUUAAAUAAGCAAGAGGCGACCGUGACUGGCUACCACAAAAAACUCUUCUAGAAUGUUUGUUGUACAUAAGUAUCUAAUUGCACUUCUACAGUAAGGUUAGCUACUUAUCAACAAAGUAUGCCUAUUCCUAGCAUUAUGAUUGAAAUUAAAAAAAAAUAUUGUGUUGAAAUCCAUACUCUUGCUCCCCCUUUGUAUUUAGAACUAAAAAUUAUCCUUAACCAAAUCUAAUACUGAUUUUAUAUGUUCCGGGAGCUAGGUUGAGGUUCAUUUUGCCCUCAUGAGAUCCUCUUGAGGCUCUUUUAGGGUAUCGGCCGAUGCUAGCCUGAUGUCCUAGUGUCCCAAGGCAAACUCCCUAGCUACUAGCUUAACACUAGUCACCAAGCACUAGGGAUGAAAAAUGAAAAUGGAUAUCCAACAUUAUUCGUAUCCACAAAACUUGUAGUGUGAAUGGAUAUCUAUAUUCUUAUCAUUUUGUAAUGUCGAUACUAAAAUUAAUGUAUCUAAAUUCGCUUUCAGUAUUUUUCUCUAUACGAUUCUGAAUCCGUAUUCGACAAAAAUAUAAAACAUCUAACAUUUAUCAAUAUAUGCAAAGAACAAGACAUAAUGAAUUUACUUGAAGUUUUCUCUCCAUGGUUAAGAAGCAGUUCUGUGGUUCGAUAAAAAUAUGAAUUAAGUGACUUAUUAUUUAAUUUUACUAUUACUAAUGACGCAAUGAAACUACUUAACAGUAUAGAGUAACAUUUAGUAUUAAUUUUAGUAUUUUCUAAUUUAGUUUAAACCUAAUAUAUAAGUAACAUUUAGUAUUAAUUUUAGUUCUAAUUUAGUUUAAACCUAAUAUAUUUGUUGUUAUAAAUUAUUUUAAUUCUUUGAUUUAAUUAUUUACUAAUUUAAAUUAUUUUAUAUAAUUUAUAAUUUCAUGAUAUAAAUAAUAUAUAAGUAAUGAUUGCUUAAUUGAUAUAUUUAGUUAUUUGUUGGAUAAUGGAAAUAUAUCCAGCUUCAUCUCUCAUCAACAUACACAAAUGUUGAGAAAUGUUAUUAAAUAUUUAUUGAUAAUUAUAUUAAUUUUAUGAGUAUCCUUGUCUAUGUUACAUACCCACAUACUUUAAUCUCUACUUGUGUUGUAAUUUUAAAAAUAUAUUGAUAAAGCAAAAUGGGCACUUGUUACCUACCAUUCUUAUCUGAUCUUCACUUCACCUAUCAUUUAUUAAAUAUUAUCUAUUAUAAUUUAGUUCACUUGAUAUUGGAUAUUAUUAGAAGUGUACUUUGAUUUCAUUUCACUUUGGUCAUUGUUAAACUUAGAAGUAAAGUUCUAUUCAUGUAUGUUGAAUCUAACAAUGCAAUUUAAGUUGAAUUUGAGAAAAAUAUUCUAAUAGAAGAGAUAUCCUUUUGUAUUCAUAUUUGAAAAUAUUAGUAUACAUAUUCAAAUUUGAAUUAAAAUGUCAUAGAAGAUGGUAUCCGGAUCUAUGCGAAUCCGAUCCUUUUCCAUCCCUACCAAAGACCACGACCAUAUGAGACCAAGUGUUAUAUAUCUUGAAAUAUCUAAUUUUAACGUAGGUUAUAUGCUAUUCCUACUAUGAGGUACGUAGUGGCUUGGGUCUAGAAAGUUUAGAAAAAAAAACUGACAGAACAAAGAAUUAAGACACGUACCUAUGUAUGACGUAUUCACGUAUCUAUUGUUGCGGACUGUAUUUGUGUAUCGUCGUUGUCUGACGGCGACCUCGACACAGAAAAACAACGGUGUUGUGCUUUCGGUAGCAUCUUUCUACUCGUCGCCGUAGAAAAACGACAGAAAAAACUGCAUGGAGGACCCAGGAGGGGGUACUAACGGUGUCCUCUCCGGCAUACGACAUGUACGACGAGAGGCGCCGGUGUCUCCAUGACCCGGCCAGGUCUCCAUGGCUGCCAUAUCCAUGGACUCAAAUCCAACACUGGUCUACCCAGGGAGACAACCAAAUUGGCCAUGGCCUAUGUCACUGAAAUUAACUCACCGGUCACUACCAAGUGGGAGGAGAGACGAAAUUAACAGGCAGCGAAGAAGAGUGCAAACAAGGACGAGAUAAAUGCGCGUGGGGAUGAUUCUGGUAAUGUGAAACCGAUGCGUUUUGUCAUCUCGGUCGAUCGAGCAAUAAAUUAAUCCAUAGAUCACUUCCAAGUAUACUUGGCCAAACGGACGGUCCGGCUCUGGCACUAUACGGCACUAUGUGGCACUAUGUCUAUCGUGUUAUGCCGUCUCGGGCCAUCGUGCUAAAACCUUGGCCCAGACACGGCACUAUGGCUCUUUAACCGUGUCGUGUCGUGCCGUGCCGAUAGGCACGGUGGCCCAUCGUGCCCGUGCCGGCCCGUGGCUUCGGGAGAAGUCGAGAAGCUCACUGCGUCCUGCCUCAAGGAGAAGACGAGCGCCACCACUAUCGUAUAGUCAGGCGGAAGAAAGAGUGGCCACAGCAAGGAUGCGUCUGCACUGCCGAUUAGGGAGUUAUGGUUUGAAAGGGUUGUGUGAUGCUUAUAUACAUGACUCAGAAUACAUUCAAUGGUCAUAAUCUAUCCUCAAAGCAUCAGAUGAUGGAAAUAAUCAUACCAACAUCGUGUCAGCCUAUUACCCGUGCCGUGCCUAUGCCGGCACUGCGGCCCGAAGUUGCGGCCCAGGUACGGCACUACCACCGGGCCGUGUCAUGCCUGGACCGUGUUUUUUAGUGUCGUGCUCGGGCCGGCCCAUCGUGUUAGUGCUAGAUGGAAAUCUAUACUUCCAAGUGAGUGGUGUUGCAUAUAUAUGGUGCAAGCAAAAGCUGUUCUCUGGGUAUCAAUUCAGAAAGGGAUCAAAGAUUAGGCUCGUGAUUCUGGUGUUAAUAAUUAAUCAUGGGGAUAAUAACCGAGCCAGCACGGAUGCCGCAGCUAACCAUUCCACAUCUCCCCGCGGUGGUUUCGCCACGCCCGCGCAUUGACGAACAUGCUCGGGCUGGCUCAGCUGAUCCAAGGCAAUCUUUUUUAUACAAUCCCUCUCUUUAGAUUAUAGAUUAACAAGUCUUUCUUCAUGAAGAUAAUUAUUACAAUAUUUUGAGGAAUUUGGUCUGUUAGAAAUGAUGUCAUUUUCAGAAACCGAAGUCACUUCCUGCAAGCUGUUAAAAUCAUCUUCAAGCAGGAAUUAGCUUGGGUUAUGCUCAGGGCUAAGAAGUCUAACGGCUCCCAGUUACAGCUAUGGCUAGACAACUUUGUAUAAUUUUACUUAUUUUCUUUGUCACCUUCUUGGUAUCCUGAGGAUAUAGUCUAUAAACAGUGGUCUCAUUUUAAUAAAAUAAAGUAGGAGGCAACCCCUCCUUAUUCCCUCAAAAAAAAAACACCGCCGCGUGCUGCGUGCAGAGUUUAGGCAUUGGUGGCCUUGCAGUGCAUGGCCACAGAAGAGCUGAAGCAACCCGGUAAGCGUCGGGUUUGGCCACUUUUUUCGCCUCGUUUCCGUAGCAGUGCCCAAGGCUGACUUGGCCGAGAGGGAAAUAAAAGCCAGCGAGACAGUGACAGAGAUGGCAACAAAAUCAAUCUGCGCCGGCUGGACUAUAGCCACAAUGUUGGUAAAAGUCGAUCCUGAAAUUUUUUCUCUGAGCACGAGUAGUAUCACCGUGGUAGAUGAUGCUGAGUUAAGAAAAGUAAAAAGAAAAUUGUCAGCUAGCAAAUUACUUUGUUGUGUUUUUAGUUUCAUAAAUAGUCUAUAUUUAGUACUUUGUUUACUUUCGAAAACUUUUUAGUUUUCGGGACUGUAGCACUUUCGUUUUUAUUUGACAAACAUUGUCCAAUCGUGAAGUAACUAGGCUUAAAAGAUUUAUCUCGCGAUUUAUAGAUAAACUGUGUAAUUAAUUUUUAUUUUCGUCUAUAUUUAGUGCUCCAUGCAUAUGGCGCAAGAUUCGAUGUGACGGGAAAUUUUGAAAAGUUUUUGGUUUAAACAAUGUAUGUAUCUAAACAUUUAAUGUGAUAGGCAGUAAACUUUAACAGGUGCGACCAAACAUGACCUAAGCGCCAAGGAGCGCUGUGGACUGUGAGUAAAGAAGUCGUGUUCAUCGGUUUACUUCAACAACUGUGGCUGAUCGGUGACUCUGAGUGAAGCCAGGUUUGCGGCUUUGCGGCUGCAGGCUACGAAGGCCAUCUUCAAUGCAGCUAGUCCAAUAGAUGCACUGCAGUAUUAGGAGUAGUAUGUUUUUUUUAUGAUUUGUUUGUUCUCGCUCAAAAAGGAUGAUUAAAAAUAUUGUUUACUCAUUUAUUAUGAGAUAAAAACAGGCACUAGUCAUGGACAGAGAAAUAAAAUUCAUGUGGCCUGCAGUUGCUUCUUCUUAUACAUUAAAUUUGCUUUCUUUCUAAAAAUUUUGGUAUUUUGUAUUUCAUUACUCCAAAGUAGUUGACAUUUUGUAUUUUCGAUUCUAUGGGGAACUAAACACUCUUACCUAGAAUAGGGUUUUGUUUAGUUCCAAAAAUUUUUGCAAAAUCAACACUGUAGCACCUUCGUUUGUAUUUGACAAAUAUUGUCCAAACAAGGACUAACUAGACUCAAAAGACCCGUCUUGCAAAUUAUAGGCAAACUGUACAAUUAGAUAUUAUUUUUAUCUAUAUUUAAUGUUCUAUGCAUGCGUCAUAAGAUUCUAUGUGAUAGAGAAUCUAAAUUUUUUAUAAAUUUUUUUAGAACUAAAUAAGGCCUAGGAGUAUUUGGGAAGACAGAACAGAAUGGAACAAGAGAAGGGAACAGAACAGAGUUCGGAAUUGGAUUCAGUGACGUUUCUGGUCUUCGAUGCCAGCCACAGCGCGGUCACCAACAAUUAUAUUCACGCAUCCGCACGGCUCAAUACACGGCCACGGCCUCAGGCAAACCGGCCCAUCACCAGGCACGCAGGCCCACUAACCCGACACACUACACCACCUGUUGCCAGACGCGCAACAGUCAUAGCCUGCGCACCUGACACUUCACUACUGUUCUGUGUUGCUGUCAUUGGGUUUUAGCACUUGUGGCAACAGAUGCUAUGCCUAUGACGACAGUUGAAGCAUGAUGCAUGAAAGCUUUGUAGAGUUGCAGUUCCAGUUCCGUGUCAACGCAACUUAGUUGAGCAAGCAGCGAGGAUUACUAGGACUAAUUGAUGAUGUCAGGUCACUGCGGCCAAGUUUUAGUAUCAGGUGUGAAACUUUUCCCUGCUCUAAGUCGUAGGAUAAAUUGCCCGUUCUACAUCAUUGUGCCAUCUAUUCAGUCUUUUUCUCAGACAUGUUUCCGGAAAUUGCCAGUGUCAGUGUCAGCUUAUCGUGGAUUCGUACUCUACUUUCUUUAGGUAGUGGAAUAAGCUUAGCAUGCUCCAGCCUUUCUCUACAGCUGAAAUACAUACGGAUGGCGCACCCAUUUUUAACUACUGGACUACUGGUCUAAGUUAUUCAGGCAGUAAAGUGAUUUGGAGCUAGUGAGCUACUAUGUGCCUGCGUGAAGUCAUGGCUGCUAACACUAUCGUGAGCUUCGUUUUCUGGAACACCUACAUACAUACAAGGGGAAAAAAAAGUUGCAGGACUAUAUCACACUUAGAAAUAAUGACAGCAUUAUCAACAGGUUACGAUACCAUAAUGCCCACCAAUUCAAUCGGGCAUAAGUAAGCACUGCACCACCAGAAACACAAUCUAGACUGAACUGAAGACUGACUCUACAGAACACUUGCUGCACGAGUCUGCUGGCGAAGAAGGGUUCACAGGUUCGGGGUAGGGUUGAUGAAAAUGUAUUGCAGCGGGUUAGCUGCCUCGCCGUUGACGGCUCCGGCGUGCUGCACAAACUCCGAUGGAGUAAGGAAGCUUCCAUGGCAGAGGCAUACGAUUCUCAUGUCAUCUCCUUCCCUGUAUUUAUACAGGAAGCCAUCAACCUUGUUGGGCAGCCCCUUGGUGAGCACGCCCGGCAUCUCCUGCAUCAACCUCCUUUCCACGUUCCCCCAUGGUAUUUGCACUUGCGGCACAGCAGCCCUGCCGUCUCCCCUGGAACCAAGGGCUGCUGCUCUUCUGGGAGCCAACGACGAAGGCGGUGGUGGACUUGCAGCCGUCACGCUACUUGUAGCUUCACCAGAGGGUACAGAUGAUGACGACUUGUUCUCCUUAGUGACGGCUUUUCCUAAAAAAAAAAAUAUCAGGAAUGAGUAUAAUAUAGAGCUUAAUGAUGAUAAAAAAAUCCAAUGAAGGGAAGAACCAUUAGAAUAGAAAGUCUAUCAUACACAAACAGCUCACGUCUAUAUAAUAAUAACUGAACAAUAUAAGAAUCCAGCCUCCAUCCAUCUAUAAGAGCUGAACAUUGUAGAAUUUUGAAUUUUCCAGAUUCAGCAAGGGGCUUAUUAUGGCAUGAAAUGUCUAGUGACUAUUGAAGAGAGGACCCAACAGAGAUUCUCACACAGCAUAGCCUUUGUUUAGCUAAUAACCACUAACAUCAAAUGUACGUAAAACAUCUCGACGCAACAUACAUAUAGAACUCCUUAAUUAAGAUUUAAGAUCAUAGAUGUAAAUAUUAGCAUUGAUCUUUGGGCCCAAAGUCCUAAUUUAAGGGCAAGAUAAUCCAGUUCAUUCAUGUAUUAUUACACCUGUGGUGCAUUGGUAAGAUUCAUGUUUUUGGAAGCAUGAGAAAUGGAUACUGAGAAUGCCUAAACUGUGUACUUAACAUACAAAAGGGGAUACCUUUGAAGGCUGAGUUUGGCUUCUUUCUCAUUGCUGACAAACUAGCUUGUGAUGUAAUUGCAGCCUGGUGCUUUGGGGCCUUCCCCUUCGCCAGAUGCUUGCCACUGCUAUGAUUUUCGUUAUUGCCCACAACAGCUUCAUCACAACUUGCUAAUUUGUCAGUGUGUGCAUUCAUCUUUUCUGGAAUCUGCCUGGUCACUUCUUUUGAAGUGCUGCAAGUGAGAGAGUUCCUCCUCUCAAUCCUUUUCUUCUUAACCUCGAGUCUCCUCAGACUCUGUGCUUCCUUACGUUUCUUCCACUCUUCAUUUCCAGCAGCCUCAGUGACAGCAGGGAGUGAACUAGUCCUCAUGAGGGUGCCACUGCCUGCAAUACUCAGUAGGUAUUUAGAUAUUGAGAAUUUGUGAAAAACUGUUGAUGUUUAUUUGAGGCAACACUGAGAUAUUCGAUUUCUCAACAUGUGAUUGUUACCUUAAAACAUGUAUUCUUUCUGUUUAUUUGCAUUGCCAUUAAAAUUUUAACAAAUCUACAUAUAUAGUAAGUUAAUUAAAAAAACAAUUAGCAAAACUACAAUUUUUUGAAAGUACUUUAGAGUUUAGACACACAUCUGUGCAUAUUGCUUCUGCACAUAAGUAUUCAUGGAAAUAUCAAACAAUAAACUUCAAACUGUUAGUGCAUCACACACAGGUAAUUAGUAAUCUUUUCUCAGAGACAUUUGAUGAAGAAAUACACACCUAUAACAGAAAGAAUGACUGAAUCAACAGAGUUCUCUGCAAUAAAAUAUUAUGCCGCCUAGAGUACUUAACACAAUUUUGGAAAAAUAAUUCACUACCAUUUACCAAAACGAUCACAAUCGGCACUGCUAAGCACGGAAUCUAAAAGCCAAAUCAACUAUCAAGGGUAGCAAAAUACUAAAAAAAAAAGAUAGUAUAAACCCCAGAAAGAGAAGCCGCGCGCACGUACGCACCUAGGAAUCUCUGCCCAUCACCUUCCGGAGAGGCAGAGGAAGGGCUCCCGCUCGCCCGCGGGUGGGCGGGCGGCGCCGGCACAUCAACCGGCGUCAUCAUGGCCGCCGCAGAGGACGGCCGGGGGAGCUUGUCCUUGUCCCUCUUCCUAGCAGGCCCGAACAGGCCGCCCAGAGAUAGCUCAAGGCUGAGCUCUACGUCCUCCUCCAUCGCCUCCCUCGGCUGCCCCGGCCUCUGCUCCGGUGGCGGCGCGUCUCCCUUGCCGAUGCCGCGCAGGAAGUCCCUCGAAAACCCGUCCAUCGCGAGCGCAGGCUUGGCUUGUCACAGGAAGGAAGCCUCAGCAGUCAGCAGCGUCCGAGAAGCGCCUGCAAGACGGGCAAGAGCUGAGCGACGACGCCGCAGGAGCAACCCUUCCCUUCCCCGGCCAACAAGAGGCGAGGGACCGGAGCAGAGAACAGAACACGGGAUGAGAGGCGACUUACACAGGUUGCACGGAGGAAGAAGGAGGCCGGCAUUGGAGAGAGGUGACGCGCUGCUGCUUCUCCUCGCGAGGAACAGGGGAGAAGAGAGAAGAGAGUGAGGGAGGGAGGAGGCAAAGCCUUCUGCUCGUUUUUGGGGCAUGCGGUUCCGCUGGGGAUGGCGAAGACGGGGAAGGCCUGCCUCCGGCACGACGCGCGCGUGUUUAUAGGGCGGCCGACGCGUGGUGCCAAGCUUGCGCGCCACCGCGCAGCCGCGGCGGGGAGCCAAGCGGGGAUGCGGGGCUCGCCAGCCUCGGCUGGGGCUGAUGAGCCGCGGGGUGUAGGCAGCCUGUCAUGGACGGGCGCCGUGACCGGUGGAUGCCCAACACGCCAACAGGCCGCUGAUCCCUUGGUAGCUAGAUUGUAGGAGAUCCGAGGGCCUUCAAUUGCCGUCAUGGCAAUAUUUUUGUUUUCGAAAGCCUAAACUUGGUCGCCCUCCUUUGUUCAGAUGAGAUCUUCUGUCAUCUUCUCUAUUUUCGACGUGAAUUUUUUAUUGUCGUCUUCGUCUCCGGCGAGAUCUCUCGUCAUCGUCUUUGUCUCCGACGAAAAUAGUCUUUCGCUAGUGGGUUCAAGUAGUAUUUGGGAUUUGUUUGAUUCUAGACGUUCUUAGGUUUAGAGGUAGGACCAAAGGGGUAGGAAAGGAUGCUGGCAAGGUAUAUGAUAUAAUAGUUGAGUGAGUCGUGGGACACCGCUAGCAAAGAUGACAACGGAUGGCUUAUGAAAGGCUUGAGGUUAAGGUAUGGCGAUAGUCAUAAUGGUGGUGGUGGCGGCGUCGGGGGUGGGGGUUUGUGGAAGAGGGGCAAACUCACUACAAUAGAGUAACAAGGUGGAAAGGCAAUAGAUCCAGCGGGAGCCGUCUAAAUGGGAGGAGAAGCAAGAAGAACAAGAAAGCGAGGAAGAAGAAGAGUCAUACGUCACGCUCGCUGGCAGAGAAUAAUAUAUCAUACGAGAGACUUAAGAAAGAAUAAGAUUAGUCGAAGAAGAUAUAACUGCGGAAAAGUCGAAACGUGUCCCGGGUGAGAGGAGACAAACUUUUAUCUACAUUAUAGAUUUUAUUUUCAGAAAUGCUAUAUGACACUUUUUAACCUACAAUUAUUUCAUUGCAAAAGAAGAAACACUUUCACAUAUUCACUAGCUAUCGUAUCUUUGGUUCAUAUAAGCCAUAUUUAAAAUUCUGACCUGAAUAUAACUUAAGGAUUCUUUUAUGUAUUUGGAAACUUUUGACCAAUUACAUGUUAUGCUUACAAAUAAAAAUAAAAAUUACUUUAGUUAAAUGUUAUGUCUAUUUCUUGCCUUUUAAAACCUCUCAUCUCUGAUAAUUUAUCAAAUCUAGUUUAUGCUUAGGGCUUUGAAUGGGUAAGAAUUACUAAUGUUCUCCGGUGAUAAACAAAACCAUUGUGCGCGUGUGGCGGUCAAGGAAAGAAAAUAAAAAACUUCAAACUUUAUUAUGGCAAUGACUUUAAUACGGGUGUGCGGGCGAUAAACACAUUGCAUGCCAACACGCCAACCAUAGCUUCUUCCCUAUCUCGCCCACACGCGCCCUAUCUUCCCUCCCCCUCCCUCUCCCCGACGACCUCCUCCCAACUCCAGCAAGCGAGCGUGUCUGGCGAUGGCAUGGACUCUCCUCUCCCCCUCUCCCUCUUCCCCGGCGACCUCCUCCCCAACUCUGGCAAGCGGAUCUGGUGGUGGCAUGGAGGAUCUGGUUAGAUCUGGCGACAGCCUUGACAGAUCCAGCGAGGUAGGCUCUCUCCUCCUCCUCCUCCUCCUCCUCCUCCUUCUUAGGGGUUCGACGAGCUCUCCCUCUAAUCUUCCCAAAUUUCGGCGGUCUUAGAAGGAAAGGAGUUUGGGGAGGAUGGCCGGCCAGAUGGUAGGGAUGCUAGCAGGUGGCUUAGGGCCCUGAUGGCAGUGGAGGUGAUCGGGCAAGGUCGGGGCAGGGGAAGAGGAAGAAGGUGGCUCCAUGAGUGAGAUAUAGGGUGUCGCCGAAGUUCUGCGAUCGCGGCCACGGCGGGCGGAGCUCCGGCGAAACCCUAGAUCGCUGCGGCUUUAGAUGGCCAUAAGGCCCGUGGCCCAUCAGCAUGACCCAUUGCCUGCUGUUUUGGCCUAGCCUAGGCACAACCCGGCACGAUGACCAUAGGCCCCAUGCUGGCCCAGCCCAAAUCUAAGGUCGUGCCUAGGUCUCUACCUACCUUAGCCCGACAUGCUAGCUCGGCCCGAUCAACCACCUUUAUUUACUUCCCAUAUAUAUAAAUAUAUAAAAACCCUAAUUCACUCCUCAUGAUCCCUGCCGCUGCACAUCUGUUUGGCUAUCUGAUGUGCGGAGUCCAUCACACACCUUCCUCUUCUCAUGUGCUACUCUAAUUUUUCUGCUCCCUUCCAUCGUGCAUCCCACAGCCACAUGUGUUUUCCCUCUUGCGACCGUCCACCCCUCCACCUCUGAUUUCUCUACUUCCUCCGCUGAUCUAAUGCGUGACGCUCAACACCGUCGCCAACUGUAGCACGUCAUGGCUCCAACACUAGUGUCCCUAGUCGAGCGACUGCAGCACACUCCAACAUGUGGAGCCCCUCUUCUCUACCUGUGUGUGCGAUAGCGGCAUGUCGAGCCUAGCAGGUCGUCGAGCCGACUUGGCAUGGGCCGCCUCCUUUAGGGUCGUGCACUCGUGCUUGGGUUAUUGGUGCAGCCAGCCCGAUGCACCUGACGGGCCAUGCUGGCCCACUGACCUCUAGAUCAUGCCGAGCAUGGGCCUGUGCGAUGGCAAGUCGGGUAGCCCGAAUAGCCAUAUGUAGCUGUGGCGGGGCGGCGGAGUGGUGGGCGACGACGGGGACGAGAGUUGCCUAGGAUAAGAGGUAGAAGGUGCUGGUGAGGAGGAAGAAAGGGAAGAGAGCGGCGCGAGGAAAGAGACGGCCACGCAACGAAUGCACGUGCGUUAGCCACAUAUUUUUAUUAUAUACAUCGGUAUAAGAAAGUUAUUGCUUGUAUAUUUGAUCUAUUUUAUAUUUUAACACUGGAGUGACAAGUUAAGUAUUUUUAUCUAAAAUCCUAGUCUUCAAGGAUCUUAUUAAAAUAUUUGGAAAAUAUUUGUUUAAUUUCACUAGCCAUGAGAAAACCCCUUGCCACUGGCUACAUUCUAAGAGGAUGGUUGCUUAACGGAGUUAAUAUUGUUGUCAGCUUCAGACUCUUCGGAGCAAAAGAGAUCGGCUUGGCUUGACUGGAGCCAAGAAUAGAGGAGCACCGAAAGAAAAAUCAUCUCUAGGAGAUCAGCACCGAUUAGGAGCAAAAGACAGAGCCACAUCAUGCCACGUAAGGACGACAAGAGCCAACUUGCCAAGUCACUGCCCAACUUGCCCGGUCACAUUUCAGGUACGGUACCACCGCCUUCUCCACACACUUCCUUUUACCCAGCGCACCGCUUUUCCACCGAAAAAACUGGCCUCGCGAAGGUAUACCCCACGCCAUCGCCCAUCGCCCAUCGCCCAUCGGUAGCCGCCGGGUUUCCAGACCCAGAGCAAACUGCCGCAAAACGGCAAAAAAAACUCCCGCGAGACCCCGCGUAGGUAGCGUCCUUUGCGUGCCGCCGCUCUCGCGAUCGCGAGGACGCAACCGCGCCGCCAUCGCAUCGCCACGCCACGUGACUGCGCGCGGCCCCGGUGGUGGGCGCCUGGCCGAAAGGCGGCAGUCCUUCCUCGCCCGUGCGGGGCGCGUGAAUAGGGUGCUGCCGUGCCGUGGGGGCCCGCUGGGACGGUAGUGAUGCGCUACGCGCGAGACUAGUCCCUCCGCUCACGCGGCCGGCCGUGGGCUCGCGCGGUCGCUGUUUCGCAGAAGCGGGGUGUCCCGCGGCGUGAUUGGACGGACGGCCAGGAUCGUGCGGGCUCCAUUCCAUUGCUGGUGACAGUCGCUGAUUAAACCAGGUGGUCUGUGAAGUUGGCAAUAAUCGCUUUUUCAUCAUGGAAGACUCUGGUCUUAGUUUUAAGUUUGAAAAAAAAAAAGUCUAUUUUUCCUCCCCAAAUUUCAUAAAAGUCUGAUUUUCUUUCCUCAGCUCCAAAACCGGACAAACCAUCUCUCAUAAUUUUUCAAACCAUAUGUUUUAUCUUUCUAGAGUGGUUUCGAAUGCGGUUUUGCUACCGCGAACGAAUGGUGGUUUUGGUACAGUAACAGUGGUUUUAUCUUUUUAAUUUUUUUAAUUAUUUCGGCUAAGGCCUUGUUUAGUUCGCGAAAAUUUUUGGAUUUCGCUACUGUAGCACUUUCGACUUUAUUUGGCAAUUAUUAUUCAAUUAUAGACUAAUUAGGCUCAAAAGAUUCGUCUCGCAAAAUACAGGUAAACUGUGCAAUUAGCUAUCUUUUUUAUCUACAUUUAAUGCUUCAUGUAUGUGUCGCAAGAUUCGAUGUGACGGGGAAUCUUGAAAAAUAUUGGGAACUAAACAAGGCCUAAAUCUUUGAAAAUCAUAGUAACUCACAGAAAAAUCAUAAAAUAAAAAAUCUAAUUUUGUUGGACUCCAUGUAAGUAGAUAUACACAAUGAAUAUAUAAUAUGCUAUGCUUUAGUACACAGUUUUUGCUAUAAAGGUUUUGUCUUUUUUUCUUUUAUAUUUAUUCCGACUAAAUCAUUGAAAAUCAUAGUAAAUUAUAGAAAAAUCAUAAAAUAGAAAAUCUAUAUUUUUUAGACUCCACAGGAGCAUAUCUACACAUUAAAUAUAUAAUAUAGUAUGCUUUAGUAUAGUUUUUUUGUUAUAGCUUUAGAUCUAUGUUUUUCUGUAAUUAAUUGAAAUAAUUCAUAGUUACAGCUUUUAUAAUUAUUUUGUCGGACUAAAGCACACCCAUAUUAUAUGUUUAUUGUGUAUAUAUACUCAUGUGGAGUCCAAUAGAAUUAUAUUUUCUAUUUUGAGAUUUUUUUAUGAUUUUUUAAAGAUUCAACCAAAUAAAUAAAAAAGGAAAAAACAAAACCUUUAUAGCAAAAACUUUGUACUAAAGCAUACCAUAUUUUAUGUUCACUGUGUAGAUCUACUUAUGUGAAGUCUAAAAAAAUUGGAUUUUUCAUUUUUAUGAUUUUCUGAUGAUUUACUAUGAUUUUUUUAAAGAUUCAACUGAAAUAAUUAAAAAAGAAAAAGAUAAAACCACUGUCACUAUAGCAAAACCACUGUUCACUGUAGCGAAACCGCCUUCGAAACUGCUCCAAAGAGGUAAACUUCACGGUUUAAAAAUUGAGGAAGAUAAUUUACCUGAUUUUAAAGUUGAAGGGGAAAAAGUGAACUUUCGUGAAAAUUGAGGAAGAAAAGUAGACAUUUUCCUUAAAUUUUUUUAAUGAGCUGCUUGCUUGUGGAUCUACCAUGGCCCAUGGGCUCAUGGGGUGGUUCCUGGAGGCACUCCUACGUUUUUGAUACAUGACGGCAAAUAAAAAUUUUGUCUGCCUUUUGCUAAUCCUCGAGACUGAUGCUGACAGACUCAAAUAACUGAGGCCUUUUAGAACGCAGGAAUUUCCCAUAAAUUAUACAGAAAUUUUGUAAGCAUCAGAUGAUUUUCAUAGAAAAAAACAUAGGAUACAGAAAAAUUCCAGCGCGUAUGCCAGGUCACUUGCUGGUAGCACGAGUGCAUCAUACCUCACAGCUCGUUACGAUCCAUUAAUCGACUCGCAGGAUCACGGCACUUUUCAAAGAAUCCUUAACCCUAAAAGCUAGCACACCAAUUGACGUCCCAGUAAUCAAUUCUAGUAAAAAAGAAUCCAUCCGGAUUGUCUGGUAAUGACCCUUUGAGAAGAAAAAUAGUAAAUGUUUACUACAGUCUAUGGUGUGCUGUACAUGAAGCGAAGCAACGCAAACAUUACCCUCAUCUUAAAUUUCAGCCUUUUCCUCUUUACCGGAGGAGCCAAGCCAAGGUUUUUACAGAGGUGCUCGUCAGGCUGCAGCGUCUUGGGAACAACACCAAAUGCACAGACAAGGCUUGGUGCAGGUAAACUGAGGAGUCCUUAAGUUCUGUUUCAGUUUAUGAGUUCUUACAAAAGCAGACACUAAAGCCCUCGAGUUUUGAUGGGUCCUGGACUCCGGCACAUGAGGAUUUCUAUCAGCAGCCUCAAUGAAUCUCUCAGUAGAAUGCAGAAAGAUUUGCCCAAUUUGCAGCCUCUUUAGUAGAAUGCAGCACAGACUCUGAACCUUAACAGUUCUGAUUGGCUCAGCACAAUGCCCCAUUAGUCUACGGCUUCACAUACUUGUCGACAUACCCCUGAAGAAAAAUAAAACCAAGUCAGUGGAGCCAGAUAUUUAUUGAAACAAACAUGUGCUGAACAAGAAAAAUAGCACGGUAGAGAGCUAAUGGAGAAUAUGGUACCGUUGGUUUGGAAAUAUUAGAUUUGGGGGCUGAAUCACAUUUUCUUAAGUAAACAUGGUGAUACAAAGCUCUCAUUCCAGAAAAAGUAUGUGAGCUCAAAACUUGCAAGCACAGAAUCAGAUAGUUUGAAACAUUUCUAUUUCUAACUUGACAUGUAUGCCAUCCACUUAUGUGGGGCCUAUUGAUCCAGACAGAUUUUAAAUCCCAUGAUGGAAUUCAGAAACUUAAACCAAGAUGUCAGUCCAAGUGAUGAAACAAAUUAUUGCCAUAUGAUGACCAAACAAGAUAAAUGUAGACAAUAUACUCAAUUAAGUGACAUUACCGAACUCCACUAAAUAAUUACCAAAUUUCUGGAUGACAACAUAACACGGACUUCAGGACAUCAGAGCUUAGGAGCUUAAUAGCAUGACACCAACUAAUUGUGACUUGUGUUUCUCAGUAUCAAAUAUCAAGGGCAUGGCAUAAUUUCCACUUCUCCAUGAUGUUCACAUGCCAUGAACAAGACUAUUGCAUAAUAUUGUCACAGAAUGCUACAAACAUAUGAACAGAAAUAAUAUGUACGCAAAUAACCAAUAUUCUAGACAUGUGACGAUAGACAUACCAUUACUAAUUUGGUCACCUUCUUUUGAGAGGAUUGUACAUAAUGUUUAAUCCUGGCAGGUGUUUUCGGAAUAUGACUGCUAGGGACUGAAUUAGAAACCUUAUCAACUGUUUUCCUGACAAUAGUUUUGAAAGCCUCUUUGCUCAUGUUACCUUGCCUCCAUGAUGGCUUAAGAACUUCCUUAACAAAAUCGGCAAUAGCAAUCUUAAAAAGUUUCAUUGACCUGGAGUCUUUACCCUUCUUAUUUGUGUCCAAUGUUUGGUCAUUGUCAGCAUCACCAGGGAUAUCUGAGUUCCAGUCUUUAGCACCCAAAAAUUCAGGACUUGCAUUCUCCACCACACCUGCCUCAGUAUCUGCUGCCACCUCUCCAAGUCCCUCAACUUCUGACUCAGCAACAACCCCCAGUCCAUACAUAUUUUCACUGUCCACUUCUAGGUUCAUAAGUUUUGAUGCAUCACGACUAUCAGCAGCACUCCAGUUCUUCUCUUUACGAAGAUCUACCUUGUUGAUUGAACUGCUCGAUGGUUCAAUACUGUCAAGCAAUGGAUCAUAUGGAGCACCAGAAGCAAACUCCUGACGGAAUAACUUUUGUUUAAUGGGCACAGGUUCUGCAGAACUUUCAUGGGCAUGUGUUCUGGAUCGACCAAAAGGGGACACUGUAUUCAUGUGUUCUGUUGUGGAAACAGAACCAAUUGCAUUAGGGCUUACAGGAUCCCCAAUAUCUAGACUUGGAUCUGUUUUAUCAAAGGUUGAUGCAAAUGGAUUGUAGUGGGGUUUGAUAGACGAUUUAGUCAAAUCAACAUCAGAUAGGGGACCAAGAUUGUUACUUCCUGGUACAUUUGAUGGAAAUCUCUGGAAAGAGGGAUAAACCAAGUUACUUCCUGAAUCCAGAUUCCCAGGAGGUUGGUGCUGACCAUAUGGAGGCUGAUGAGAUGAAUAAGAUAGACCUACACCAGAAGGCUGCUGGUUAGAAGGAAUUGCUGGUGGGAGAGUAUGAUGAUGGAAAUUGAAUGGUCUGGGAUGAGACACAUCUUGUGGAGGGUAGCUUCUCAUCUGGUUCUGCAGGAACUCAUUUGCUGGUGCAAUAACUUUAUGCUGGAACUGCAUUUGAGGGAAUUCUGAUGUUGUAAAUGUUGGUUGUCCUGGUGGCUGAAUCAUAUUUGAGGAUGACAUGUGUUCAGGAGGACACAAACUCUGAGGAUGAGACUGGAGAGGAUCAGAUGCCAUGGAGCUCUUGGUAGUUUGUACAGACAUAUACGAGACACCUGAUGCAGGUUGGCUCAUAAGAAUUGGGUCACCUGCUGAUGAAGACACAUUUAAGUCCGAUCGAGAUUCUUGCAUCUUAUGAGUACCAGCAGAAGCAGCCACUGGUUGUGAAUGCUCAGAAAUUAAAUUGUCACUGUGACAAUGCUGCCCAAGGGCAACAUCAAACGCACCAUUAUCUCCCACUUUGCCAAUUAAAUCAUUAGAAGAACUAUCCAAUUUUGAUGUCAAUGCCAGGCCCUCUUGCUGAGCAACUUUACCUCCUGAAUCAUUGCCAUCACCAGCAGGAUGAACCCGCUUAGCAAAUGGUGGCCUGCUCUGCUUUCCAGGUGAGCAACUGAAACAAGUUUAAUACUGUUAGACUCCCAAAGGGAGCAAGAUAUACAUAUCGAAUGCCAUAACUUAUAACAAAUAUAAAUACAGAAAUACAAUUACACAGAUGAACUGAUGCAUCUAUUUAAAGUUCAAGGUAAGGUACAAGGCAUCGUACCUUUGGGAUGGGCUGCACUUGUUUGCCCCCACUGGACUACCACUUCUACCCAGAGGUGACUUGCUCCGGGUUCGUUUCUUUUGUCUCCUCCCAUGCCUUUCACUACUUUGACUUCCCUCAAAUUCACUAUCACUUGUAUCUUCUUUGGCCAGAUGCCCAAGCACAUCUGUGCCAUGCUUCACUGGGUUGCUCUCAUCCUUCAGAUGAUAAUUUUCAGCCUUACCAUUUUGCUCAGUGCCAUGAGGGGUACUCACAUUUCCUUUUGCAUCAACAUGUUUCUGAUAAUCGACCUCAGUAUGUGGAUCACUUGAAUGACUGUGCAUGUUAUCUUCAUGCAAUAUCACGAGGGUGCUGGUAUCCUGAGGACCAGCAUCGGCCUCAUUUGCACUGUCAUCGGAGGCAUAACCUUGUAUUAGUCGGAAUGCGCUCCCACCAUCCUCAGUUGCAUGCACAGUUUUAGCAUUCUCACCACUACCAGGUGGCAAAUCCUUGCCAGGGCUUGAAACAUCACUGAUAGACUUCGACACAUCAACAUUUUCAGUACAUUCAGCAGUCACGAGCGAAGAAUUCUCUGGGGUAAGGGGCUGCCUUGAUGGAGAGUCGUCAUCCCCUGGAAAUUGCCAUGACAAAAUAAAUGUUUAGAAACAUGAUGAAGUGAAAAUUAAGCUGAAAUGCCAAAGUCAGGUACAACAUUCAUGCACAGUGAUGUUUUUCAUCGUACGAACUAUCAGUUGUCAUUGCUGUGACGCCAAAUGCAGCAGUGUGAAUAAAAUGCAAGUUUCAAACAGAGUAAAAGUAUCACUGUACUGAGAUGGGGGAGGAGGGAAAGGGGAGUGCUAACCAUCCAUAUCCAUAUCUGAGUCAUCAGAAACAAUUAGCUGAGUAGCUGGUUCCAGAGUUUUUGCAAAACGACCACCAUCAGAAGCGCCUUCUUUUGCUACGGCUUCAGUGUCCCAUGACUGUGCAGCAACAGGUGCAUGAGGAGGAGACUGUGAUGCUGGUGGUGGUGGUGGUGGAGGAGGAAGAGGAGGAGGAGGGGGAGGAGGAGGAGAAGGCGGUGGGGCAGCAGGUCGAGGUGGCGGUGGAGGGAGGGGCGGAUACUGUGGAGGGGCCUGAUGCAUAGCUUGUUGCGGAGGCAGCAUCCCUGGCAUUGGCACCGGCGCAUAACCUCUCUGCUGUGGCAGCAUUGGCAUCUGGUGCAUCUGACCAUGCUGCCCAAAUGGGUAUGGUUGGUUCUGCGGUGGCAGCACGCCAUGCUGGUACGGCCCAGGCGGAGGCCGAGGCCGCAAUCCAGGGUGCUGUGGGUAUGGUGCAGGCGGCGGUGGCACAGGUUGCUGGGGAAAGGACCCAGGCACCCCAGCUUGCUGCUGGGGCGGCGGCGGCGCGCCAGGGCGAUAGUGUGGAUUGAAGCCCCCUCCCUGCCCGUACAUCUCUAGCUCCGGAAUCAAUCAAUCCCUCGCGCGAAACUUCCUGCGAAGUUCAAAUUCCAAUCAGGCCUUGUCAACAGUCAGCGCGGAAUUAAAACCAAAACGAAACCACAAGCGGAUAACGCGGUUGGCCCGCUGAAAUCACCUCGGAAAUUUCCAAACCCUAGAUCAAACCGAAGCAGGGAUCAAACCAAUCGUGGUAGCAUCGGCUGCAUCGCCACAGACAGAGCUACCAAAGAGGAGGACGAGGAGGAGGAGGGCGGGCUCCGCGAUUACCUGCUACGAGUCCGGAAAGGAGACCCCGCAGCGUCCUGCGGGAGGCUCGGAUUCGGGUCGGAGCGGAACCCCCAGCUGCUCGCGAUGGCCUGCGACCCUCUGGGGGCCCCGGCGCGACGGGGCGGGAUCGAGCGACGACGGCGCUAGGUCGCUGCCGGCGCUGGGUUUGGUUAGGAUUGCGAGAUUUUGGUUUCGCGGUGCGCCAUGGGCGAUAUGGCCCGGUGGAGUGAGAAAUUACAAAGGACGGCGGACGGGUCCGUGCUUCGUGCUCUGCUUUUGCCUUGGCUUGCCUGGACCUCCCUGGAGAGUGGAGAGGCGUAGGUAGGACCUGAGGGGUCCAGGUGGGGGCCAUGGGAGCAGAGAGAGACUUAGCGUCUUCAGACCAUGGCCGCGCAAACAGGAUCCAACGGUCCAGAUUACCUCCAGACCGGACAGUAAACGGAAUGAAAAUACUGUCCAAAUUUUCCCAACAACGGAGCAUGCUGACAUAGUGUAUAUUCUGCUAAGUGGUAAUGGGUUCACUAGUUAAGGUUUUUAUGGUCAGCAAAUAAACAUCACUUUUACUGUAUGUAUGUACUUUCUAGGUGCAAUGACCAAAUGUCCGAAUCAAACUAGGGCUCGUUCGUUUGCCAGAUAUUAUUGAGCCCCUAAAAUGAUUCCAGCUGGAAUUGCUUCACAUUUGUAUAGUUAUCAUCAUCUGGAAUUGUUCCUGGGCUAAAUCCGAGGUAACCGAACUUAGCCUAAGAAAACUCCACUUAUUACCGGGGAAAUGAAAUGCAUGUAGGAAAUAAGCUUAGUGCUCAACUUUAUGUGGCGACUCCACGUUUCAUACUCCACACAGGCUGCUUUGGGUUUAUAAUGAGGGAAAACGCAAUGAUGGGGGGAUGGUGAGAGAAAAUUUUUCUAUGUGACACUGUUGCAUAGCACAACUUUGCGACAUCUUAUACCGAUUAACACGUGUGCAUGCAGCAAUUCACGUAGGUCCAGAGGGACACGUGGGUGUCGCACAGUUGCGUGUUGCGGAUCUCCUAAGGUUGUGGGGAUUGGAGAAAGAAUAAAGGGCGAAGUAAAGGCCUCUCUCUGAACCAUAGGAUUCAAUCCUAUAGAAAAUUUUCUAAGUGAUCUUCUCAUCUUUGAAACAAAAGGUUGGCCAUCCUAAAAUCCUACACAACUUCAAUGGAAUGGUUCAAUUAACAAUAAUUUUGGGGGAAAAUAACCUUUUGGAAACUUUAUUUUUGCCUAUCUCUCUUCUAAUUCUUGUGUUCCUCCUGUAUUCUAUCUUGUGUUUUCAAUCUAUAAUCUAUAAUCUAUAAAUCUCCUAUACCUAAAUAGGAGAUCUCCACUAUAGUAGAUAGUAUCUCUCUUGCUUCUCAUGCUGCCACAUCAUCAUAAAUCCUGCACACACUGUCAUAGCUUCAUUCCUCCACUACGUGGCCACCUUAUCUUCUCCACUAAAUGCAGAUAAAAUAAAACUAUACCAGAUGACUCCCAUGCCUUGGACCGAUUAUCAGUUUCAAAAAUAACUCAUGCGGAAGGCAAACAGCCGCGUCUGGUUUAUCACUGCAAUUAUGGCUUCUCGCCAUCUCUUCAAUUCCUCUACCUCCGGCUUAAAUAUCCCAUAAAACAUUUGUGACAGCCAAACAAUUUUCGCCCAUAAAUUAAAAAAAGUCUAAAUCUCCCAACUGCGACUCAGCCAUUGGUGCUGGGCGCCUUCCUUCUACGAGCAUCAGAGGGCACUCACAAUGCAGACUCUAUCAUGGAGUCUAAAGUUGUUUAUUACCUCGAACAAUGUCGACUUGGAGUCUAAAUAAGACUUGGAGUCUUAUUUUUUCUACAUCUUUCUUCAAUAAAUACGGUGCCACAUCAGCAAAAUACCAUAAAUAAUAUGUAAUUAAUUGUCUUGGACUCUGUGAUAGAGUCUUGCAUUGGGAGUGCCCUAAGAGCACUCGCAAUGCAGAAACCAUUGUGGUUUAUAUAGACAUUAAUUGCGUGCCACCUAAGCAUUUUGCUGAUGUGGAGAGUAAAAAUCAUAGAAACUAGGUCUAAGUUAGAAACCAUGUCUACACAAAAUCCAAGACAUGAAAUGGUAUGAUUGGCUAAGAAUGGAGAGAGAAUGAAUGUGAUUGGAUAUAAAAAUAUUAUAUAGAAACUAUCCAUUAGGACCAUAAUUUCUAUAUAUAUAGUGUCUAUAGAAAUUAAUAGGUAUAGAAACUAUAUGUAGUUUCUAGUAUUGGGAGUGUCUAAGGGUCAUUCCAAUCGCACAUGUAUCCAUCUGAAUUCCUAUAUAUGAUCUUUGAAAAUGUUACCUCUGUUAGGAAACAAGAUAUGUAACAAACUUGGAUUGUAACACGGCAUAUGACUUUGACCAUGUGUACCAAGGUAGCUGCAUUCGGUUAGAGUAGAUAUAAUCUAGUUAGCCUGGUUUGUUACGAUAGAAUCUAUCUCAACCGAAUGCCUUGUAACUCAAGUUGUAUUAUAUAUAUAUAUAUAUAUAUAUAUAUAUAUAUAUAUAUAUAUAUAUAUAUAUAUAACAUGAAGACGUGACAAGCCAAGAUAGGCAGUCACGGUUGCCAUCUCUUUUACAUGGUAAUCAGAGCACCUCUUCCAUAGAUUCAUCCAACAAUGGCGUCGUCCUCUUCCUCCGCCAACCAUAGCCACCAUUCACCCUUUGGGCCCUCCAUCUCUGAGAAGCUCACACGUGACAACUUCAUCCUAUGGAAGGCGCAGAUCAUGCCGGGCAUCCGGGCAGCGCAGUUCGAGGGAUAUCUUGAUGGAACUCGCGUUGCUCUCGCCAAGACCAUUGAUCUGGUGUUGGAAGACAAGACCAAGACGGUCGCCGUCAACCCCGAGUACGAGAAGUGGCUCAAGGAAGACCAACAACUUCUCACUCAUCUCAACAACUCCCUAUCAAGGGAGAUACUUGUGCAAGUGGCCACCAAGACCACGUCGGCGGCGGUCUGGGCAACGCUCGGGGACAUGUUCUCUGCGCAGUCCCAGGCUCGUGUGACCAAUCUGCGCAUGCAGUUGGCUAACUGCAAGAAGGGUGGCCAAACUGCUCCUGCGUACUACGCCAAGGUGAAGGCUAUUGGAGACAAGCUUGCUGUUGCUGGACGGCCGGUUCCUGAUGAGGAACUGGUGACAUUCAUCCUGGUCGGCCUCGACUUCGACUACAAUCCGCUGGUGUCCUCAGUGCUGGGGCGUGCAACUCCGAUCUCCCUGAGCGAUCUCUAUGCUUAGAUGGUCGCCUACGACAUGUGCCUCCAGAUGCUGCAAGAGAAUCACAACAGCGGCAACAACUCCUCCGUCAACGCUGCUGCACGUGGACGCGGCGGAGCCUGUGGGCGCAACCGCGGUGGCUUCGGCCGUAGUGGUGGCGGUCGCGGGACUGGGAACUUGUCCAACCAGUCUAAGGCUGGAGGACAAGGAGCGCCUAGGCCAACGUGCCAGCUCUGCAAGAAGAAAGGCCACGAGGUGGUCGAUUGUUGGCAUCGUUUUGAGGAGGAUUUCCAGCCCGACGUCAAGACUACUGGCGCAACGCACACAAACUACGGCGUCGACACCAACUGUUAUGCGGACAGUGGGGCUACCAACCACAUCACAGCAGAGCUGGAGAAGCUGACCGUCCGGGACAAGUACAAGGGCGUGGAUAAAGUUCACACUGCUAGUGGUUUAGGUAUGCAGAUCAGUAAUGUUGGUCGUACAAUUUUACAUACCCCACAAAGUUCUUUCCAUCUAAGAAAUAUUUUGCAUGUUCCCAGUGCUAACAAAAGCCUGGUUUCAGUUCAUCGAUUCACAUCCGAUAAUAACUCUUACAUCGAAUUUCAUCCUCAUUAUUUUCUCAUCAAGGAUCGAGCCACGAAGAAAAUUCUCCAUCACGGCAAGUGUGAGGGUGGUCUCUACCCACUGAAAGAGACUGGAGCACAACACCCUAGGCAAGCUUGUCGUGUCAGUCGACCAUCUACAUGGAGAUGGCAUAGUCGUCUUGGUCAUGCGUCCCUUCCCAUGGUUGAGAGAGUCAUUAGAGAGAAUUUGCUUCUUUGUUCAGUUAGUCAUGAUGUCGAGUCGGUGUGUGACUCUUGCCAAAAAGCAAAGAGUAAACAAUUUCCCUAUACCAGAUCAGAUAAUAAAAGUUGUGCUCCUCUUGAUUUGAUCCAUUCUGAUGUCUGGGGUCCUGCACCUAGUUCUGUUGGAAGCUAUUUAUACUAUGUUUCUUUUAUCGAUGAUUAUAGUAGGUACACAUGGAUCUACCUACUUAAACACAAAUCUGAGGUGUUCAGUAUCUUUAAAAACUUCCAAAACUUUGUUGAGAGGAAGUUUAACCGAAAAAUUGUGCAUAUGCAGACAGAUUAGGGUGGUGAGUACGAGCGACUAAAUUCCUUCUUCAAAACGCUUGGGAUCUCCCAUCGGGUAUCCUGUCCCCAUACUCAUCAACAGAAUGGUAGAGCAGAGCGCAAACAUCAUCAUAUAGUAGAAGUAGGUCUAUCUCUGCUUGCCCAAGCUUCCAUGCCUUUGAAGUAUUGGGAUCAAGCUUUCCUCACUGCUACUUAUCUGAUUAAUAUUCUACCGGCCAAGAUUCUUGACAAUAAAACUCAUGUUGAGCUCUUACUCAAGGAAAAACCAAACUAUAACUCUCUUCGGGUGUUUGGGUGUGCAUGCUGGCCAAAUUUGAGACCAUAUAAUACCAGAAAACUUGCCUUUCGAUCCACACAGUGUGUGUUUCUGGGUUACAGUUCCGUUCAUAAAGGCUUCAAAUGCCUUGAGCCAAAAACAGGACGUGUUUAUGUCUCAAGAGAUGUAGUGUUCGAUGAAGAAGUGUUUCCCUUUGCAACACUUCAUUCUAAUGCAGGCGCUCGCCUUCGAGAAGAAAUGACCCUUUUGCCUAACUCUCUUGCUCCUGUUAAUUGUGGGGAUGUAACUUGUCACGCACCUAAUGUUACUGAUGCUGUUGUUACUAGCGAUUCAGUUCAAAUACAGGAACACGGUGAUGUACAGGUUGUUGAUGAUAUACCACCAGAUGAGGCUAUGAAUCAGGCUGUCAUAGAAAAUCAGGACACAGGAUCUGAUGAUAAUGUACCAGCAGAAGCCGCGUCUCCGCCUGCGCAAAUCUCCAAGAUGCCGGCGCCACCCCGACGUCGUCGCGUGGGGGGGCAGGAUCAUUAUCGGGAUCGCAGUGUGUCCUCCCGCCACUGGACUCUGAUGGAUCUUCUGCAGAAGAACCAUCAGAGUCGCCCGAUGCAGCUCCAGUGCCUGAUUCUCAGCGGCUUCGACCACACACUCGGCUUCAAAGCGGGAUUGUUAAGCCCAAAAUCUACACUUACGGGACUGUUAGGUAUGCAAAUAUUGUUGCAGAUGGUGAACCAAAGUCUGUUCUUGAAGCCCUGAAUUGUCCCAAGUGGAAGUGUGCCAUGCAAGAAGAAUAUAAUGCUCUGCAAUGAAAUGGCACGUGGACCUUGGUACCACCACCACGGGGGAAAAUCUGAUCGUUUGCAAGUGGAUCUUCAAAAUCAAGAAGAGAGUUGAUGGACAGAUAGAUCGAUAUAAGGCAAGGUUAGUAGCAAAGGGAUUUUCGCAGAGGUAUGGUAUAGACUACGAGGACACAUUCAGUCCUGUGGUCAAAAUUGCAACUGUCAGACUAGUACUCUCAUUGGCAGUAACCAGGGGGUGGUGCUUGCGACAGCUGGAUAUGCAGAACACGUUUCUUCAUGGUGUUCUGGAAGAGGAGGUUUACAUGAAGCAGCCCCCGGGGUUUGAGAAUAAGAAGUGUCCCUCCUUUGUAUGUAAACUUAAGAAAGCAAUCUAUGGCCUUAAACAAGCUCCGAGGGCAUGGUACUCUAGAUUGAGUUCAAAACUCCUUGAUCUUGGGUUUGUGAUGUCUAAGUCAGACACCUCCCUCUUCAUCUAUAGAAAAGGCAGCGUGGAGAUAUAUAUGUUGAUCUAUGUUGAUGAUAUUAUUGUUACUAGUUCAUCUCAUGAAGCAGUUAGGGUAUUAUUGCAAGCUCUUAAGCAAGACUUUGCCUUGAAGGAUCUAGGAGACUUACAUUAUUUUCUGAGUAUUGAAGUAGAGAGAAAGCAGAAUGGUGAUCUUCUUCUAACUCAGAGAAAAUAUGCAAAGGAUAUUUUGGCCCGAGUCGGUAUACUGAAUUGUAAACCUGUUUCUACUCCCUUGUCAUCUACUGAGAAGUUGUCACAACGUGAUGGUGAUAUAUUAGGAGUUGGAGAUAGUACAAGGUAUAGAAGUGUUGUUGGAGCAUUGCAAUACAUCACUCUCACACGACCUGAUUUAGCUUUUGCAGUAAACAAGGUUUGCCAAUACUUACAUUCUCCCACAACUGUUCAUUGGUCAGCAGUAAAGCGCAUCAUAAGAUAUUUGAAGUGUUCAAUGAAUAUUGGCCUAUUGAUUCGGAAAAGGUCUCCUACUAUUGUGAGUGUGUUUUCAGAUGCUGAUUGGGCUGGUUGUCGAGAUGACAGGAGGUCAACUGGUGGAUUCGUUGUCUUUCUUGGCUCAAAUAUAAUCUCAUGGAGUGCCAGAAAACAACCCACAGUUUCUAGAUCAAGUACUGAGGCAGAAUAUAAGUCCAUGGCAAAUGCAACAGCUGAAAUGAUUUGGGUUCAGCAACUACUUGGUGAAUUGGGAGUAAAACUUAAAGUUACGCCUCGGCUCUGGUGUGAUAAUUUGGGGGCAACAUAUCUUGCUGCAAAUCCGGUGUUUCACACUAGAGCUAAGCACAUUGAAAUUGAUUUUCACUUUGUGUGAGAGAGGGUUACAAGGAAACAACUAGUUGUGAGGUUUCUACCAACCGAAGAUCAAGUAGCCGAUGGUUUUACCAAAGCGCUGCCUCGUGUGAAGUUUGAAGAGUUCAAGAACAAUCUUAAUCUUGUAGAAAAGACAAGUAUAGAUUGAGUGGGGGUGUUAGAAAACAAGAUAUGUAACAAACUUGGAUUGUAACACGGCAUAUGACUUGACCGUGUGUACCAAGGUAGCUGCAUUCGGUUAGAGUAGAUAUAAUCUAGUUAGCCUGGUUUGUUACGAUAGAAUCUAUCUCAACCGAAUGGCUUGUAACUCAAGUUGUAUUUUAUUAUAUAUAUAUAUAUAUAUAUAUAUAUCAACAUGAAGACGUGACAAGCCAAGAUAGGCAGUAACGGUUGCCAUCUCUUUUACAGCCUCCACUCGAAUGGCAACUCGGCGAGCCGCCAAGCCCAUCGGCGAUGUUGCUGGCCACUCGACAGGCUACAACAGGAAGCCUUCACCACCAUGAGCAGCCUCUGGAGCACGACGGUGACCAUGCACAAGGCCUCAUACCAUUCUGCACGGUGCUGCUGCAGCAGCAGCAGCACGACAGGGAGCACAUGUUCCUGCUGCUCAAAAGCUGUUAAUAUUUUGAAUUGGGUCUUGUUUAGUUGUGAAAAGUUUUUAGAUUUUAACAUUAUGGUAUUUUCGUUUUUAUUUUAUAAACAUUAACUAAUCAUGGAGUAACUGGGCGUAAAAGAUUUGUCUCGUGAUUUACACAAACUAUACAAUUAGUUUUUAUUUUCAUCUAUAUUUAAUGUUCCAAACAAGUGCCGCAAGAUUCGAUGUGACGAGAAAUCUUGAAUUUUUUUUUUAUUUUUGAGGUGAACUAAACAGGGCCUUGGUAGGUUUGCAUCUUCACCCGAGAUGAGUUGCUAGAGUGUGCAGGAACUACAAGAUUACCCAAAUAAAUAAAUUAUUUAUAAUGUAUUCCGUAUUUUGCAUCUGAAUCUCAUCUAAAUGUUGGUCAAAUUUAAUGGUAAAUGAGUUAGCUGAGAGGGAAGUGCAUUUGAUCAUGGUGCGUGUUAAUAUUUGAACUGUCCAUAUGCAAACAAUUUAGGCCUUGUUUAGUUCUUAAAAAUUUUCAAGAUUCUCUAUCAUAUCGAAUCUUGCGGCACAAUGCAUGGUGCAUUAAAUAUACAUAAAAAUAAAAACUAAUUAUACAGUUCGUCUGUAAAUCGCGAGACGAAUCUUUUAAGCCUAGUUACUCC